Molecule: ribosomal RNA, 1460 nt
Filed under: metagenome
Description: bacterial SSU rRNA
Rfam family: Bacterial small subunit ribosomal RNA
Source: RNAcentral
AGAGUUUGAUCCUGGCUCAGGACGAACGCUGGCGGCGUGCCUAACACAUGCAAGUCGAGCGGAGAUAAUAGCAAUAUUAUCUUAGCGGCGGACGGGUGAGUAACGCGUGGGCAACCUGCCUUUCACAGGGGGAUAACACAGGGAAACUUGUGCUAAUACCGCAUAACACAACGAGAUAGCAUUUUCUUGUUGUCAAAGGAGCAAUCCGGUGAUAGAUGGGCCCGCGUCCAAUUAGCUAGUUGGUGGUGUAAUGGACCACCAAGGCGACGAUUGGUAGCCGAACUGAGAGGUUGAUCGGCCACAUUGGGACUGAGACACGGCCCAGACUCCUACAGGAGGCAGCAGUGGGGAAUAUUGCACAAUGGGGGAAACCCUGAUGCAGCAACGCCGCGUGAAGGAUGAAGGUUUUCGGAUUGUAAACUUCUUUAGUCAGGGGCGAAUAAAUGACGGUACCUGAAGAAUAAGCCACGGCUAACUACGUGCCAGCAGCCGCGGUAAUACGUAGGUGGCAAGCGUUGUCCGGAAUUACUGGGUGUAAAGGGCGUGUAGGCGGGAAUGUAAGUCGGAUGUGAAAUCCCAGGGCUCAACCCUGGAGCUGCAUCUGAAACUAUGUUUCUUGAAGGCGGGAGAGGGAAGCGGAAUUCCCGGUGUAGUGGUGAAAUGCGUAGAUAUCGGGAGGAACACCAGUGGCGAAGGCGGCUUCCUGGCCCGUUCUUAACGCUGAGGCGCGAAAGCUAGGGGAGCGAACGGGAUUAGAUACCCCGGUAGUCCUAGCCGUAAACGAUGGACACUAGGUGUUGGUGGUAUCAACCCCGCCAGUGCCGAGGCUAACGCAUUAAGUGUCCCGCCUGGGGAGUACGGCCGCAAGGCUAAAACUCAAAGGAAUUGACGGGGGCCCGCACAAGCAGCGGAGCGUGGGGUUUAAUUCGACGCAACGCGAAGAACCUUACCAGGACUUGACAUGACCAGGACAGCGGCGGAAACGUCGCCUUCCCGCAAGGGACCUGGCCACAGGUGUUGCAUGGCUGUCGUCAGCCCGUGUCGUGAGAUGUUGGGUUAAGUCCCGCAACGAGCGCAACCCCUGCCGUGUGUUGUAUCUCUCACACGGGACUGCCGAGAGAAACUCGGAGGAAGGUGGGGACGACGUCAAGUCAGCAUGGCCCUUACGUCCUGGGCUACACCCACGCUACAAUGGCCGGUACAACGGGCGGCGAAACCGCGAGGUGGAGCGAAUCCCUUAAAGCCGGUCUCAGUUCGGAUUGUAGGCUGCAACUCGCCUGCAUGAAGCCGGAGUUGCUAGUAACCGCCGGUCAGCAUACGGCGGUGAAUAUGUUCCCGGGCCUAGUACACACCGCCCGUCACGUCAUGAAAGCCGAUAACACCCGAAGCCGGUGGGCCAACCGCAAGGAGGCAGCCGUCGAAGGUGGGAUUGGUGAUUGGGACGAAGUCGUAACAAGGUA